RNAcentral lists this ribosomal RNA (468 nucleotides) under uncultured bacterium. Its description in RNAcentral is "partial 16S ribosomal RNA". It matches the Rfam family "Bacterial small subunit ribosomal RNA", at positions 28 to 507 of the family's 1533-position model. The record is from RNAcentral.
GACGAACGCUGGCGGCGUGCUUAACACAUGCAAGUCGAACGGAAAGACCCUGCUUUUGUGGGGUGCUCGAGUGGCGAACGGGUGAGUAACACGUGAGUAACCUGCCCUUGACUUUGGGAUAACUUCAGGAAACUGGGGCUAAUACCGGAUAGGAGCUCCUGCUGCAUGGUGGGGGUUGGAAAGUUUCGGCGGUUGGGGAUGGACUCGCGGCUUAUCAGCUUGUUGGUGGGGUAGUGGCUUACCAAGGCUUUGACGGGUAGCCGGCCUGAGAGGGUGACCGGCCACAUUGGGACUGAGAUACGGCCCAGACUCCUACGGGAGGCAGAAGUGGGGAAUAUUGCACAAUGGGCGGAAGCCUGAUGCAGCAACGCCGCGUGCGUGAUGACGGCCUUCGGGUUGUAAACCGCUUUCGCCUGUGACGAAGCGUGAGUGACGGUAAUGGGUAAAGAAGCACCGGCUAACUACGUG